Molecule: ribosomal RNA, 253 nt
Filed under: uncultured bacterium
Lineage: Bacteria
Description: partial 16S ribosomal RNA
Rfam family: Bacterial small subunit ribosomal RNA
Source: RNAcentral
UACGUAGGGUGCGAGCGUUGUCCGGAAUUACUGGGCGUAAAGGGCUCGUAGGCGGCCAACUAAGUCAUACGUGAAAUCCCUCGGCUUAACCGGGGAACUGCGUCUGAUACUGGAUGGCUUGAGUUCGGGAGAGGGAUGCGGAAUUCCAGGUGUAGCGGUGAAAUGCGUAGAUAUCUGGAGGAACACCGGUGGCGAAGGCGGCAUCCUGGACCGAUACUGACGCUGAGGAGCGAAAGCCAGGGGAGCAAACGGG